GACGAACGCUGGCGGCGUGCUUAACACAUGCUAGUCGAACGGAAAGGCCCUGCUUUUGUGGGGUGCUCGAGUGGCGAACGGGUGAGUAACACGUGAGUAACCUGCCCUUGACUUUGGGAUAACUUCAGGAAACUGGGGCUAAUACCGGAUAGGAGCUCCUGCUGCAUGGUGGGGGUUGGAAAGUUUCGGCGGUUGGGGAUGGACUCGCGGCUUAUCAGCUUGUUGGUGGGGUAGUGGCUUACCAAGGCUUUGACGGGUAGCCGGCCUGAGAGGGUGACCGGCCACAUUGGGACUGAGAUACGGACCAGACUCCUACGGGAGGCAGUAGUGGGGAAUAUUGCGCAAUGGACGGAAGCCUGAUGCAGCAACGCCGGGUGCGGGAUGACGGCCUUCGGGUUGUAAACCGCUUUCGCCUGUGACGAGGCGAGAGUGACGGUAAUGGGUAAAGAAGCACCGGCUAGCUACGUG
Molecule: ribosomal RNA, 468 nt
Filed under: uncultured bacterium
Lineage: Bacteria
Description: partial 16S ribosomal RNA
Rfam family: Bacterial small subunit ribosomal RNA
Source: RNAcentral